CUGUUAACGACGUUAACC
This 18-nucleotide small nuclear RNA is filed under the name Arabidopsis thaliana (thale cress). Its description in RNAcentral is "snRNA_04518". Lineage: Eukaryota; Viridiplantae; Streptophyta; Magnoliopsida; Brassicales; Brassicaceae. The record is from RNAcentral.